This 4122-nucleotide long non-coding RNA is filed under the name Triticum aestivum (bread wheat). RNAcentral describes it as "long non-coding RNA (TAES_LNC012990)". The record is from RNAcentral. Lineage: Eukaryota; Viridiplantae; Streptophyta; Magnoliopsida; Poales; Poaceae.
UUUCCCAUGGCCGCCAGGAGGAAGCCCGGCAGGUCGCCGGUGGCGGCGGCGGCGAAUGCGAAGGCGUCGGCGAAGGAAGACGACGCGUAGGGCCUAUUCUGCGACCUCGGCCUCCGCCCCACACUCCGCGCCCGCCUCCAACCAAGGUCCUUCCUUCCCCCCUCCCCCUCUCUGAUUCCCCGUGUCUCUGUGGCCCUAGUGAUCUGGUAGUCCCCUGUGGGAACUAGGAGCUCGCCCCUUAAUGUCAUCCACUUGUGUUUUGAGAAGAAUCUGAAUGGAUUAAAGUAGAGGUUUUUACAGAAGGCAUGUUCAAACUCCAGUUAUUUGUGAUAUGUGAAUAUUGGUGCAUUCUAUUGGAUUCCUGUUAUGUCAAGUUCAAUUACCAUCUUCAAAUCAUAAAUUACAAUCCUCUCAUCUUCCAUAUCGCCAGUUUUGAGAGAUAUUCAGUGCAAUGAUCCACUCCCUCCGUCUCAUAAUGCAAAACACAUCUUAAGUUAUGGGAUGGAGGGAGUACUUUACAGCGCCUGUAAACUGAAGGCUUCGGGGAAGCUCUUUGAGCUUUCUCCGCCGGCAUUGCGAGGCCGCUAGGUUUGACUUCAGAAACUUUCUAUUCGGGUUCCCUAACGUAACGUCAGACAUCUGGUCUACUCUCAAGAUCCCAAAUUCCGCAGCUAAGGAAAGCCCCUUCUUCAUAAGAUCAAGAAAGUACAAGCGUCUUUCGAAGAUUGUGUCUAGGUAUGGUAUUUCCACUAAUCUCAUCUCAUGUCUUGAAGGCCCAAUACAGUUUAUUCAUCAGAAAUAAAAAAGAACGAUACAAGCAAAGUAUUUUACAGUAACCUUCAAGUUUACUAUACAUAACAAUGACCAGGUACACAUAGUUAAUACUCGUUUAAAAGAACACCAGAUUAGGUUUUUCACACAAGAUUCACUUGAAAAACUGUUCGAAUCUUACCGACCAUCGUAUGUUUCAGCAGGUUUCCAUUUGGAUAUUGCGUAAAUUACUCUCCCUUUCCAUCCUUGUAGCAGCCAACCGCGGUCUUCAACAGCAAAGAAUUCCUCAUGCCAAAACGUGUUCUUCAUGUAUACUAUUAUCCUUAAGAUGGCUAGAUCGACAGGAAGCUGCUGGAACCCGGCCUUGAGGCACCUUGCGUGCCACUGCCUGUAACCUUCUGGUCUCUCAGUUCUUUCUGCACCCUCACAUGCUAUGAUGUUAAUUGCAUCCUUCCCAAAUAUCAUCCUCUCAAUCAUCUUUCUUGCUUCAUUAUCCCGUGGAACAACGUUUGCAUCAAGCAUGUCAAACAUUGAAGAGUAAUGGAACAUCACCUCUUUGAAACGUUGUAUGAAGAAGGGGGAACUACGUAACCCAUUCACGGUGCCUGAAAUGAAAAUCUUCGGGUUCAUGCUCCUCAUAAUUUUGAGCACCUUAUACCUUGCACUAUUUGCGGCUUCGGUUUCAUGUCCGAGGUUCUUCAUCCGGUACAUGCAGUUGAUUAUGAGAACUUCAUCCUCCUCAAUGUUAAAAUCCUCAGUUUUAAUGGUCUCCCAUCUUGAGGCGGCAAUGCCCUGAUACUGAAAAGGUACCUUGAACAUGUUUGCAUAAUAAGCCAACCGCUUCCCUGUCUCCUCGAUCAUUUCGCUGGGGCGGAAACCUGGCUGACAAACGUCUAUACCUGUGAUCCGAAGCUUAGGGGCUCCCUCUUCUUGCUGUGCAAACUUCUGAAUCAUUAAUGGCCACUGAAAGCCGAAGCCGAUUCCGAAAUCAACGAUGUGCACCCUUGAUUUCCCUUGUGAGGCAUCAAGAAUAGCUUGGUUGGCAAAGUAGUAUGACGUCCGGUCGAAAGGGCAGGUUGCAAUAAAAAGGCUGUGAGCAUCUAACCAAUCUGUUGUACUUGUUCGCCUCUCCAUGAGGCUGCGAUAAACCUGACCCCCGAUCCCAGCCAAGCGUGCCUCGAGGCCAUCCGCCAAGUAAAAUGUCAGUCUCUGAGUGCAAUCACCAUCUGCUGAGGAGUGUUGUCUUAUCUUCUUUAGGAGUUCACUGGCCAACAGAUGGUUGUCUUCUGCCACAGCUUGUGCACAAUUGAUGAGGAGAGUCUUGAGAUCAACCAACUCUGUUCUGGGUUGCUUCCUCUGCCAUAGCUUCUGACGUCCUUUGCUCCGGCCUUUCAGUGAGUUCUUGUUUCCUUCCUCUACCAACCCUCUUCGCAGUCUUGUUAUUUUUUUGAAACUCUCCAGGCCAUAGCAUAGCAGAACUUGGUCGAAAUUUUCAUUUCGAAUUAUUGCACAAGUGGUGAAGGCAAGAUGUUUAUUGCUCCUUCCUUCCAAGAUAUCCCAGUCACUUUGGUCCGCCACCUGAAAGAUUGUGUUUUCGCUCCUCUCUCCUACUUUCGCCUUUCUAGUCAGUUUGGAAAUAGAAAGUAUGCCAUUCUCUAAAUAUAUCACGAGCUUAUCGAUACUUGGAGAAAACAUAGUUGCCUCCUCGACUCCUCUCUGAUAAUGCAAGCCAGGGAAAGCAGAUGUAGAAGUCGAUCCAACACUUAUGAAUGGACGGUUUGGUAGAGAAAGACUCCUAUUGCAGAUAUAUGCAUUCAACGAGGUUGUUAAGGGCUGUAACAUGCUGUAACUAGAACAGUCAUUACUGAAGUUAGUGCUCCAGAGCCUCUUGUAGCGGCUGGUCCUACCCUUACCAGGGCUGUCUGGUUCGUUCUUGAUAUUCAACAGCGGAGGGUUAGUAGCCAACGGGGGUACCUGCCCAAGAAGGUCACGGAAUGGUUUCUCAGCAGCCUGGAGAGCGGCGCCCCCUUGGCAUAUUUCAACCCUCUCGUCGACGUCUUCCAUCAGCAUCUGGCUGAUAUAGUGAAGAGCGUCGUUUGAUCUGAUCCGGCGGUGCUCAGGGCUACCGCCUGCGGCAGUCUGUAUGCUGCUGUUGGCAUUGCACAACCCAGGGCUGGUGCCUGCAGCAUGCAGAUAUGUGCUUGCUCUAGUGGUUGUUGGCUGGGCCAAGAACAGUGGACCACUCAGGUCGUAGCUGUCCACGGUGAGUUGCUGCUGGGAAGAGGAAGCGCCGUCGUAUGGUUGGUGGGUUGCUGCGGUGGGGUCCAUAUCGCCAAGGAGAGCUCCAACCGCCAUUCUGGAAAAUCUCUUUCUAUUUCCACUUCAAAUGGAGGAUUCUCCUGGCAAGCAGAACUGGACAAGAGGCAUGUGAUUCUUCUGUGUACCACAGCAAAUGAAUCAGCAGCUUGUUGCCUGCAAAACAAAAGAGUAGGAAGUUGAAGCUUAUUUAUGUGAGACAAUUUUGUACUGUACUCCCUCCGUAAAGAAAUAUAAGAGCGUCUAAACGCUAUUAUAUUUCUUUACGACGCUCUUAUAUUUCUUUACGGAGGGAGACGCUCUUAUAUUUCUUUGCUACAAUCUGGAAUGAUAAAAAGGAAUUCUCCCGGGCGAGCACUUAUUUUUUCCCCUCAUCUUCAGCUUACGAUUGUUUUGGCAUGCCAUGCUGAGGAAAAUUGAAUUUCCGAAGGCUUGCGGAAACGAGCAUUACUAUUUUACCUGGUUAAACCUCAAAUGUUUAGCAUUGAUAACAGAAGAAGGCUUGCGGAAACGAGCAUUACUAUUUUACCUGGUUAAACCUCAAAUGUUUAGCAUUGAUAACAGAAAAAGGACUCACCUCUGGUCCUUGUUAAGGCAACCUUGAAAUUACGACGCGCCUAAUAGCAUUGUUCCUUUUUUUGUGCAGGUGGCUCCUCAUCUGAUCUGAGCAGGGAAGCAUACACCUUGGUUGUUAUAUUAAGUAGCAGCACGAUCAAAUGAGAAGCUUUGAGAAGGAGGGAGAGGAGGGGUGUCUGUGGACUGUGGUGUUGAUGUAAACUUGGUAAGUCUUUUGUUCCCAACUACAGCCAUGGUGAUUGUGACAGAGGAUGGUCCAGAUUGCAACAGUUAUCCUCUCGAUUAAUCCUAGGCCUGGCUACACGCCGGACAUGUAAAAAAACAACUGUCAUAUCGGACCAUCGUUCUAAUUUUAGGGAUAAAAACAGAGCGCUUCCUAACGUGACCGACGUGGUCGAACGAACAAGCGAGGGAAACUAUUAUUUCCUGCUAGUCUGCAUGCGUACGUCUCCAAAUGUG